Propithecus coquereli (Coquerel's sifaka) is the source of this 104-nucleotide small nuclear RNA. NCBI's taxonomy places the organism in Eukaryota, Metazoa, Chordata, Mammalia, Primates, Indriidae. The record is from Ensembl.
GUGCUAGCUUUGGCAGGACAUAUACUAAAAUUGGAACGAUACGGAGAUUAGCAUGGUGCCUGCACAAGAAUAACAUGCAAAUUCAUGAAGCAUUCCAUAUUUUG